AAGUACAGUGUACAUUUUUACUUUUUUUUUUUGUUUGUUUUCAGUGGGAUAUGUUUGAAAUACAGCAACAUUGUAGUGAGAAUGUGGAAUUUAACUUGAUGCACGAGGGUGGAGCCGUGAGAGCUAAUGAAGGAGCUGUAUCUAGCGAAGAUAAAGUCCCAAUCACCACAACGUUGGCUUCCAGCGCCUCCGUAAUCCUGCCCAGCCCUGCAUGGUGUCCACUGCUCUGCAGCUGUGCUGGUGCGACUGCUUCCAGGGCUGAAGCAUAAACUCUGUCUCUGCAAUGGUCUGGGUUAGAGACGAUGCAGUAAUGGUCUGCUUUAYGGUUGUGGAGAAUUGUAUUGGCAUGCCCAAGGGGAUGCUGAACUGCAGCGCAGGAGCAGGAGGGAACAGCCGCAGUGGGGGGAGGAAGGACCCUUUCUCAGCGGUCUCGCUGCUGAAGCCAGCGCGUCGCAUCCCGUACAGCCUUAGAGGAUAAAUUGUCAUAUAUUCUGAAUCGAGCGCUUAUUGUGUCCGAGGUUGUGCUCCAGAGUGCAUAUUUAAGCUAAGCGUCUGCCAAAUGUCUACUGACAUAGGCUUAAGUUUCCCUUUCACUGUGCUUUGUUGAGUAGGAGUGGACUCGAGUAGAAAUUUUGUGUUAUGUCAAAUUGGAACAAAAUGAAAACCACCUGACGCCCUGGUCUCUUCAGGCAUCUUCUAGGUAUGACAUUUGGGUAUGGCUGCCCAACCCUAAAUGUUGUGAGUAUAACUCAGUCUUUCUUCUUACAGUGCCUUUGGGUUGAAGAAAGUAUUUUAAUAUCCAUGCACCUCUAAUAAACUAAAGCUGUAACGAGGCCUUUUCUAUUUG
This 847-nucleotide long non-coding RNA is filed under the name Dromaius novaehollandiae (emu). Its description in RNAcentral is "lncRNA (ENSDNVG00000017416.1)". Lineage: Eukaryota; Metazoa; Chordata; Aves; Casuariiformes; Dromaiidae. The record is from RNAcentral.